This 578-nucleotide long non-coding RNA is filed under the name Equus caballus (horse). RNAcentral describes it as "lncRNA (ENSECAG00000032977.3)". The record is from RNAcentral. Lineage: Eukaryota; Metazoa; Chordata; Mammalia; Perissodactyla; Equidae.
CCAGGAGCAGCUGGAGGAGAGGCGGAGAGAGAGAGGGCUCCAUCGGGGAAGGCCUGUGACGGGCUUUCUCUCCCAGAGCGGCAAAUACCAGGGCCCCUUUGUGGAAUGUGGAGCUGCUCAGAGGACAAGUCGCCCUACUGCUUUCUGAGACAAGAUAUUGAUUGAAUUCUGGAGAAGGCAAUACUAUCAAAGGUAGACAAGAUCUAGCUCUGGUUUGUGCUUCAAUUCUGAGUUGCUGCUUCUGAAGAAAUCCUUGUGAUGUCAUCAAUUAAUAAAGGAGCAAUAGGCCCUGGGGAUACAGUGAUGAGUCGAAAGGGAUGAAGGCUUAUAGCAUAAAAGGAGAGACACAUGUCAAUCAACAGUGAUGCUAAUGGAUCCAUGAGCAUAAAUGGAGAGAAAUACUGUAAAGAAAAGAAUCACAGUUUGGUGAGAACCAAAGCAAAGGAACUUGGCCAAAACUGGGAGUCUAGGAAGGCUUCCCAGGCCAAGCGAGGAUCGAGCUAAAGUCUGAAGAACAGGAGGGAGUCUCCGAGGGAAGAGGAGAGGAGAGAGCAAGUUGCAAAGACAGAGAGACAGGC